RNAcentral lists this ribosomal RNA (497 nucleotides) under uncultured bacterium. RNAcentral describes it as "partial 16S ribosomal RNA". It matches the Rfam family "Bacterial small subunit ribosomal RNA", at positions 28 to 507 of the family's 1533-position model. The record is from RNAcentral.
GAUGAACGCUGGCGGCGUGCCUAAUACAUGCAAGUCGAGCGAACGGACGAGAAGCUUGCUUCUCUGAUGUUAGCGGCGGACGGGUGAGUAACACGUGGAUAACCUACCUAUAAGACUGGGAUAACUUCGGGAAACCGGAGCUAAUACCGGAUAAUAUUUUGAACCGCAUGGUUCAAAAGUGAAAGGCGGUCUUGCUGUCACUUAUAGAUGGAUCCGCGCUGCAUUAGCUAGUUGGUAAGGUAACGGCUUACCAAGGCAACGAUGCAUAGCCGACCUGAGCGGGUGAUCGGCCACACUGGAACUGAGACACGGUCCAGACUCCUACGGGAGGCAGCAGUAGGGAAUCUUCCGCAAUGGGCGAAAGCCUGACGGAGCAACGCCGCGUGAGUGAUGAAGGUCUUCGGAUCGUAAAACUCUGUUAUUAGGGAAGAACAUAUGUGUAAGUAACUGUGCACAUCUUGACGGUACCUAAUCAGAAAGCCACGGCUAACUACGUG